This 394-nucleotide ribosomal RNA is filed under the name uncultured bacterium. Its description in RNAcentral is "partial 16S ribosomal RNA". It matches the Rfam family "Bacterial small subunit ribosomal RNA", at positions 523 to 918 of the family's 1533-position model. The record is from RNAcentral.
AUACGGAGGAUGCAAGCGUUAUCCGGAUUUAUUGGGUUUAAAGGGUGCGUAGGCGGAUGAUUAAGCGUGAGGUGAAAUGCCACUGCUCAACAGUGGGACUGCCUCGCGAACUGGUUGUCUUGAAUGCUCCUGCCGUGGGAGGAAUGUGUGGUGUAGCGGUGAAAUGCAUAGAGAUCACACAGAACACCGAUUGCGAAGGCAUCUCACGAAGGGGUGAUUGACGCUGAGGCACGAAAGCGUGGGGAUCAAACAGGAUUAGAUACCCUGGUAGUCCACGCAGUAAACGAUGAUAACUAACCGCUGGGUCGUAGUGAUUCAGUGGCCAAGCGAAAGCGAUAAGUUAUCCACCUGGGGAGUACGACCGCAAGGUUGAAACUCAAAUGAAUUGACGGGG